GCUGCCGUAGCUCAGUCGGUAGAGCAACUGAUUCGUAAUCAGUAGGUCGCCAGUUCGAUUCCGGCCGGCAGCACCA
RNAcentral lists this transfer RNA (76 nucleotides) under Burkholderiales bacterium. RNAcentral's name for it is "tRNA-Thr". It matches the Rfam family "tRNA". From Rfam's summary of the family: Transfer RNA (tRNA) molecules are approximately 80 nucleotides in length. Lineage: Bacteria; Pseudomonadati; Pseudomonadota; Betaproteobacteria; Burkholderiales. The record is from RNAcentral. RNAcentral also lists the same sequence under 8 other names.